CUGUCACUCCGGACCGGAUACAAAAGAAGAAACACGAAAAUAAUACGCGAAAUGCCGCGAUGCCCAGCGCCACGCGGUGGCUGAGCUAAGAAGCUCAAAGUUGGAUGACGAAAAUAAAAAAUACUCGGAUCAAACGAUUCGUUCCAAGUGAAAAGAUUUUCGAGCCGAAUCGGAGAGGUUCUCCAGCAACUCCGUCCGGGAAUAAAAUCGAAGCGAUACAAGCAACUGGACCGGAACAAAGGAACAAAAUCGUUCCGCCAUAAAAAUUAAAGGCCAAAAAGGAGGAGUUGAUUAUUGCCCGGAAUCUGAGCGGCGCUCUUUUAUAACGGGUCCGAAGAUGCUGCACAGGAGAGACGGAAUAAGACCGAGUAGAUCGGUCGCGCGGCAACAUUGCUUCUGAACACACUCGAUACUGGAGGCUUCGUCCGUGGAGUAUGGAGAAGAGCGAUUGCAAAGUACACCUGCUUAUUCGGAGAGGAUGCGUGCUUUGGGGGGGCAAACUCAAAGGUCAGCCGGUGGGAGUACACGACGCGGAUGCCGGAUGGAACUAUUGAAAGCAACGAACCUUUGAGGAGGGCUUCGGUUUUGAAGAAAUCUCCGUUGUCGCGGGGAGCGUCGCGACUUUGUGGAUCCUCGAUCGUAACCGAUUCGUGGGACUCGGCGCCGGGACGUUGGUGGAUCUUGUCCUGGCCGCGGACUUGUAACUGGCUUUCGCAUUCGCUGGAGAAUCGUCGAGGCUCGGUAUCGAGGCGUAAGCGGGAGGAGGCUUGC
RNAcentral lists this long non-coding RNA (771 nucleotides) under Venturia canescens. Its description in RNAcentral is "uncharacterized LOC122417029, transcript variant X1". Lineage: Eukaryota; Metazoa; Arthropoda; Insecta; Hymenoptera; Ichneumonidae. The record is from RNAcentral.